RNAcentral lists this ribosomal RNA (478 nucleotides) under uncultured organism. Its description in RNAcentral is "bacterial SSU rRNA". It matches the Rfam family "Bacterial small subunit ribosomal RNA", at positions 28 to 507 of the family's 1533-position model. The record is from RNAcentral.
GACGAACGUUGGCGGCGCGCCUGACCCAUGCAAGUCGAGCGACGGACCUUUUUGGGGUUACCCAGAGAGGUUACGGAGCGGCGGACGGCCGAGUAACGCGUAAGCAACCUGCCCUUCGGAGGGGGAUAACUCUCUGAAAAGGGAGCUAAUACCACAUACGCUUAAGGGAACGCCUGUUUCCUUAAGGAAAGGGAGGCAACUCCCGCCGAAGGAGGGGCUUACGUCCUAUCAGCUAGUUGGUAAGGUAACGGCUUACCAAGGCGAUGACGGGUAGCUGGCCUGAGAGGGUGGCCAGCCGGACUGGGAUUGAGACACGGCCCAGACUCCUACGGGAGGCAGCAGGGCGGAAUCUUGCGCAAUGUCCGAAAGGGUGACGCAGCGACGCCGCGUGAGGGAUGAAGCCCUUCGGGGCGUAAACCUCUUUUGCAGGGGAAGACUUCCGACGGUACCCUGCGAAUAAGUCCCGGCCAAUUACGUG